This 78-nucleotide transfer RNA is filed under the name Candidatus Methylomirabilota bacterium. Its description in RNAcentral is "tRNA-Glu". It matches the Rfam family "tRNA". Rfam says of the family: Transfer RNA (tRNA) molecules are approximately 80 nucleotides in length. The record is from RNAcentral. Lineage: Bacteria; Methylomirabilota (SeqCode). RNAcentral also lists the same sequence under 2 other names.
GGCCCCAUCGUCUAGCCCGGCCUAGGACGCCGCCCUCUCAAGGCGGAGACACCGGUUCAAAUCCGGUUGGGGCCACCA